CCAUUCUAUUAAAAAAAAUAAUAAAUAAAUGCUAAACAUAAACAUGCACCAAAAUGAGGCACAAAGAGAAGACACAUAUAUUACCUCAAAAGGGAUACCAUACAAGAUCAAGUAUAUUUAGUUAACAAGCAGAAUUACAGACAAGAUGGAGCGCUUACAUGGAAGCAGAAUCACUACAAAAUAACACCAUCCAUCAAAUCAAAAUCACGUAGUAAGAAGAGAAGGGUUGGCAGUCGCAGUACCCCCUUGGGCUUCGAGGACCUCUAGACAUCGCUCCAGCGUAUCAAGCACCAAUUUACUCUUGGUAGUAGCCUCAAAUUGGAGGAGGAAUUCGAAGAGGCGACGAACAUUGAGGAAAAUGUGAGAGAUGAAUUCGUGAUUUUCCCAAUCGGCUUGCACUGCUAUCCCUACAUUGACAGCGUUUGUAAUCCCGCUCUUGCCAUUCUUUCUCUCCCUGUUUCGAUCUUCAGAGACCUAAAGCAAGAACUGCUGGCUUCUGCCACUGUCGACUGGUUUGUUGGUCGGUUGACUUUUUUAUUCGAUAAAUAAUUAUACAAUAGCUUAGAGGGAACUAAAGAGUGCUUAAUUAUGGUGCAAAAUCCAAAUUAAGCUAAUAUCCAUUUGGCCAAAUAUUAUAAAAAGAUAUUUUUGUGUCCAUUCUAGAAUCAUACUAAUCCCUUUAUUUGCCUUCUCUAGAGAUCGAAUCUAAAAACUCCCAGGAUUUAUAGACUCAUUUCUGCAUUGUGAAUUAGAUUUGAAUCGAAAUCGGACUUAAAUUGAAAGUUCAAACUAUCAGUUUUGACUCCGUUCAAACUUUUUUUGUUAAAAAAAAUGGCAGCUUUUGAGAGCGCCACAUAGAGCAAACUGUUUUCGAACCGAAAUCAUUAAAAAUCAAAAUUAGAACCGCAAUUUGAAUCGGAUAGAAACUGAACUGGUUUAAUCCGGUUUUUCAACCACGUGAGAGCACCAGCAAGACAUUAAAAGUUAUUUCAUGUAACAAAAAACCAAAAGUCAGAAGGACCGACCAAUAAAAGCAGAUAUCAAAGGGGAAAGCAAUUAGUUGUUAUUUUCAAGAUCUGGCACAUUUAAAAUCUACCAAUUGAACCAAACAAGGGAUUGAACAAUUCUCUUUGAAUUUAGCCCAUGAUCAUCAGUGCACAGCAUUUGAAGGCCUAAUGAACAUGCCCGCAUAUCAUUUAGAAUCGAUAUACACCGAGAGAAUACAGAUGAACAGUAUUAAGUUAUGCUGAGGCUGUAACUGAUGAUAAACCAUUAUGUCGAAGCAGGGCCUCUGGUGAUGGUUCCCGUCCGCGGAAUUCUACAAAAACCUUUAAUGGUGCUUUGCCACCUCCAAGAGCAAGAAUGGUCUCCCGGAACUUGCGUCCUAUUUCCUUGACAGCCUUGCUGUCAUCCAAUCCAGCAUCCUCAAAAGCUGAGAAAGCAUCUGCGGAUAGUACCUCCGCCCACUGCAAUUAAGAAUCAUUAUUUUGGAUGCAACAAACAAUAAAAAAAAAAGGGGGGGUUGGGGAAAGGUAGAAACGCAAGAAAAUAAACUAUGCCAACAAUUCUUCUUCUUCUUCAAGAGGAAGAAUAAACUCAAGCUGGGUUGUGUUUGCUCUAAAGAGCUAAAUAUUGAGUUACGCAUAUGAUGAACCUUCGAUAGUGCCUCAUUUAAUUAUGGAUGAAGCUACAGGUAUUUUGGAUCUAAAGAAUAUUAUUACCUUAUAACUGUAGUAUCCAGCUGCAUAUCCACCUGCAAAAAUAUGGCUAAAACUACAAAGAAAUCUAUCUUCAGGCAGCGGCGGGAUCACUUGUGUCCUCUUAGAGACCCUUUGAUCAACAUCAUAGAUGGUCUCUGACCCACCAGGUAUAUACCUUGUGUGCAACUCCAAGUCUACACAUGCAAAUCUUAACUGACGAAGACUAAGGGAACCUGCACGAAAAGUCCUUGCAGCAAGAAGCUUCAAAUAUACAUCUUCCGGGAGAGUCUCCCCAGUUACAUAGUGCUUUGCAAUGCCCAUCAAGGUUUCCCUGUGAUAACACCAAUUUUCCAUGAACUGUGAGGGCAAUUCAACAGCAUCCCACUCUAUUCCUCGAAUUCCAGCAACAAGACCCUCAUCUUGCUUGGUAAGCAUAUGCUGAAGGGCAUGACCAAAUUCGUGGAAGACAGUCUCAACCUCCCGAAAUGUCAUAAGGCUUGGUUUGUCUCCAACUGGUGGUGUUUGAUUGCACACCAUGUGGGCAAUAGGCAACCUUGGAGUAGUACCAUUGCGUGACAAAACCCGACUCCGACCAACUACCUCAUCCAUCCAUGCACCUCCUCUUUUCUCAGAUGGACGAGAGUAUGGAUCAAAAUAGAAGUAUGCAAUUGGACUACCAGAGGAAUCCUUCACACCAUAGAAUCUAACAUCAUUAUUCCAAACAGGAGCUAAACCAUCCGCUGGUUCAAUAUGAAUUCCAAAAAGUAUCUUUGCAAGGUUGAAAAGGCCAUCCAUAACCUUUGGCAAUGAAAAAUAUGGCCGUAGUUCUUCCUCAUUGAUUUCAUAUCUUGACUCACGAAGCCUUUCAGCCCAAAAGUUAAUAUCCCAGUGACUUAAAUCAUUUGCUUCUAUUGCAUCUUGAUUCUUGGCAAAAAUUUUAAGGUCCUCCAUAUCUUGCACUGCAGCAUCCCAGGAAGCUGUGCGCAGCUUUUCUAAGAGCUCUUCUGCCUUUUGAACAGUCGCCAUUUUUGUUGCCAUGCUUACCUCAGCAUAGUUGCUGUAAUUGAGAAGCUUAGCCUUUUCCUGUCUAAGCUUUAAUAUUUGAUCAAUAAUUGGUGUGUUAUCCAGAUCACCGCUUGAAGCACGAGUUACAUAAGCACGGUAGACUUCUUCACGCAAAGCACGGUUAUGAGCAUGUUGCAUGACAGACAUAAAACUUGGGGCAUCCAAUGUAAUUAUCCAUGGUCCAUUCUCAGCAGUUGCUUCUUUGUGCCCCUUGGAAAUUGCUGUUUGUGCAGCCAAUGAAAGUGCAGUAGCAGGCAACCCUUCAAUUUCUUUUUUGUCUGUAAUGAGUUUUUCAAAUUUCUUUGUGGCAUCCAAUACAUUCUCCCCAAACUUUUGCGAUAGCCUCUCCAGCUCCUGUUCAAUUUUGUUGAAUUCUACCCUUUUAUCAUCUUCAAGAGCAACACCAUUAAGAACUGCCUCCUUUAUUUGAGAUUCCACUAUACGUUUCUGAGCAUUACUUAGAGACUGCCAUUGGGAAGAUUCUUGGAUAGCCUUAAAUGCAUUGUAAAUUGGUUUACUUUGCCCCAACUUAAGCUGAAACUUGACCUUUUCGGGCUGAACUUCUUCAAUUGCAUCGCGGAGAUCAGGUGUAUCCUUAACAGACUUAAGAUGAUUGAUGACCCCCCAAACAAUAUUCAACUGAUCUACAAUCUUUUCCAAUGGCUCCACCAACUUUGGCCAUGAUGGUUCCACUGUUCUCUCCAAUUCCUCCAAAUCACUCUCAAGCUUCUUUAGCAGGGCACGUAUCCCAGGUCGAACAUGUUCAGCCUCAACAACAUCGAAGGGAGGGAACUCAUAAUCCUGCGUGAGAGGAUUGGAAUGGAAAGUCUCAUCAGGAGCAGCCAUUGAAGGUGGUGAGAGUGAAGAAUAACAAGGAGAGGAAUAGUGAAGAAAGACACAGAAAGCAGUGGAUUUGUGGAGAGAAUGGAGGCAGAAGGAGAAAGAAGAGGACAAGGGAGGGCAAUGAUGGGAUUUGAGGAAUUUUUUGGGGCCAAAAUGGCAACAAGGAGAGAGUUUAUGGUUGGUUGGAUUGAACGGAAGAGAGAAAG
This 3814-nucleotide unclassified non-coding RNA is filed under the name Hevea brasiliensis (rubber tree). Lineage: Eukaryota; Viridiplantae; Streptophyta; Magnoliopsida; Malpighiales; Euphorbiaceae. The record is from RNAcentral.